AAUUCAUUUGAAGUGGGCGGAAUAAGACAAGUAGCGGUGAAAUGCAUAGAUAUGUCUUAGAACUCCGAUUGCGAAGGCAGCUCACUAAGCUGGUAUUGACGCUGAUGCACGAAAGCGUGGGGAUCGAACAGGAUUAGAUACCCUGGUAGUCCACGCCCUAAACGAUGAUAACUCGAUGUUGGCGAUAGACAGCCAGCCUCCCAGCGAAAGCGUUAAGUUAUCCACCUGGGGAGUACGCCCGCAAGGGUGAAACUCAAAGGAAUUGACGGGGGCCCGCACAAGCGGAGGAGCAUGUGGUUUAAUUCGAUGAUACGCGAGGAACCUUACCCGGGCUUGAAAGUUAGUGAAGGAUGCAGAGACGCAUCCGUCCUUCGGGACACGAAACUAGGUGCUGCAUGGCUGUCGUCAGCUCGUACCGUGAGGUGUUGGGUUAAGUCCCGCAACGAGCGCAACCCCUAUGUUUAGUUGCCAGCAUUUAAGGUGGGGACUCUAAACAGACUGCCUGUGCAAACAGUGAGGAAGGUGGGGACGACGUCAAGUCAUCAUGGCCCUUACGUCCGGGGCUACACACGUGCUACAAUGGAUGGUACAGCGGGCAGCUACAUAGCAAUAUGAUGCUAAUCUCUAAAAGCCAUUCACAGUUCGGAUUGGGGUCUGCAACUCGACCCCAUGAAGUUGGAUUCGCUAGUAAUCGCGUAUCAGCAAUGACGCGGUGAAUACGUUCCCGGGCCUUGUACACACCGCCCGUCAAGCCAUGAAAGUUGGGGGUACCUAAAGCAUGUUACCGCGAGGAGCGUGUCAGGGUAAAACCGAUAAUUGGGGCUAAGUCGUAACAAGGUAACCA
This 844-nucleotide ribosomal RNA is filed under the name uncultured bacterium. RNAcentral's name for it is "bacterial SSU rRNA". It matches the Rfam family "Bacterial small subunit ribosomal RNA", at positions 645 to 1502 of the family's 1533-position model. The record is from RNAcentral.